RNAcentral lists this unclassified non-coding RNA (88 nucleotides) under Pseudomonas sp. NFR02. The record is from RNAcentral. Lineage: Bacteria; Pseudomonadati; Pseudomonadota; Gammaproteobacteria; Pseudomonadales; Pseudomonadaceae. RNAcentral also lists the same sequence under 1 other name.
UGUGGGAGCUGGCUUGCCUGCGAUAGCGGUUUUCAGUCAGCCCAUCAGUGACUGACCCACCGCCAUCGCAGGCAAGCCAGCUCCCACA